RNAcentral lists this long non-coding RNA (5888 nucleotides) under Nicotiana tabacum (common tobacco). RNAcentral describes it as "long non-coding RNA (NTAB_LNC018877)". Lineage: Eukaryota; Viridiplantae; Streptophyta; Magnoliopsida; Solanales; Solanaceae. The record is from RNAcentral.
GAGAAACUUACAAGGUCUUUGGCUAGCAAGGUAAUGUAAACAUUUGGAAUUGAGAUUCGAAGUAGAAUCUUCUGGAGAAGAAAAGCCCCAAGGCAACAAUGAAGAAACGAGGGAGAAAUAUCUGAAAAUCUGUUAUUUUGAUAUAAAAUGAACCUUGGUCCCUAAAUGAAUCUAACUAUUAUGUAUAUAUAUAUAUUUACAAGUACAUAUGGGCUGGGUCGCACCAUUUAAAUACAAAUAGAUCUGCAUCUGCUUAUUUGUGGUUUGUGGGUUGCUGCUGCUUUGAGACGGGCUGUUGUAUAUUGGGUUGUGAAUCAUCAUAUUGGGCUCUGACACCCCCCCUCCAAGCUGGAAGGGGAACCUAUUCCAAGCUUGGAAAUAAAGGCCUGCUGUUGAAUCUCCAGAAGAGACUUAGUGAAGAUAUCAACCAAUCGAGAAGUAGUUGAAAUGGAAUAAAGACUGAUGACCCCAACAGACAGAGCAUUGCACACAAAAUGACAAUCUAAUUUGAUGUGUUUAGUCCGUUCAUGAAACACAUGGUUCUUACAAAUAUGAACCGCUGCUUGAUUGUUCACAGAAUACAUCAACAGGUGUGAGAGAAGAAAUCCCAAGUUCACCAAGCAACCACAGAAUCCAGGUGAUCUCAGCAACCAACAAUCGUAAUGCUCUAUACUCUGCCUCAGUAGAAGAAAAUGCAAUAGUAGGUUGUUUCUUGGAUUUCCAAGAGACGGGGCACCCACCAAGAAAUAAAAUAAAGCCACUAAUUGACUUUCUAGAAUCACUACAACUAGCCCAGUCAGAGUCACAAUAACCUUAAAGUGAAAAAUCAAAAGCAGCAGAAAGACGCAAACCUAAGCAAGAAGUACCAGCCAAGUAUCGAAACAUGUGCAAAGCAGCAUCUAAAUGAGGAACUCUAGGUGUUGACAUAAACCGACUUAAAUGUUGAAAAGUGUAAGACAAAUCAGGUCUAGUAUAUUGAAGAUAUUGAGUUUCCCCACAAGUCGUCUGUACAUAGAACGAUCAUGCAAAAUAUCACCAAAUUCAGCAUACAAUUUGACAUGUGGAUCAAGGGGAGCCACCACAGAGGAGACAUCAGAAUAGUGAAAUUCAGAAAGCAUAACCAUAAUAAACUUAUGUUGACUAAUGAGAAAACCAGAAUGCUCUUUAGUAAUUUCUAAAACAAAAAAAUAAUGAAUUUCCCCAAGGUCCUUAAUCUUAAAUGCACUAUCCAGAAAAUGUUUAAGGUUGUUAAUUUCGGUCAAAUUAUCCCAGCAACUAGAAUAUUAUCAACAUACACAACAAUCACAAUUAAAGAUCCAUUAACCGACUUAGUAAACUAAGAGUAAUCAUUGAGACUAGGAUGAAAACCUUUAGAUUGAAGAGCUGAUGAUAAUUUGGCAUACCAUUGCCCUGAGGCAUGCCUCAGUCCAUAAAGAGACUUAUUUAACUUGCAAGCAAGAGUUGAUGAAGAGGUAGGAAAAUCAGAUUGCACAGUUAGACCAGGAGGGAGCUUCAUAAACAUUUCUUCAUCCAAAUCCCCAUGUAAAAAUGCAUUAUUAAUAUCCAUUUGGAAAACAGUCUAAAUUCUUGUCACAACAAUAGACAAUAAACAUCUGAUAUUGGUAAGCAGUUUUACCACAAGAGAAAAUAUUUUAGUGAAAUCAAUACUUUCAUGUUAACUGUCCCCCUUAAAGACUAGUCUAGCUUUAUACCGUUCAAUAGAGCCCAUCAGCCUUUUGUUUAAUCUUAUACACCCAUUUACAAGGAAUGGCCUUCUUCCCUGGAGGAAGAGGUACAACAGUCCAAGUGUUUUUAGCCUCCAAGGCCUGAAAUUCUUUAACCAUUGCAUCCUGCCAAGCAUUAUUGGAUACUACUUGAUGAUAAAACUGAGGUUCCAGCAUACAAGACUCGGGAAUUGAAAAAGUAGGUUUAGAAUUAGACACAGAGGUACACACAUAAUCAUCCAAAUAUCCAGGAGGUUGAUUAACUCUGGUGGACUUUCUGAGAGUAGGAACAUGGGGAUCACAUGGAAGAAGUCUGAGAGAUCUUCAGAGAGGAGGAACAAAUGUGCAUGAAGGAAUAAAAGUAGAAGAUGGAAUAGUAGGCAAAGAAGUUGAAGAAGGGAGAGGAUAUGGAGAAGAGUCAGGAUUAUUCAUAGGAGAAGGUGCAAGAUCAGAAUCAAAAGAGAAAGGAGAAAAUAGAUGAACAUAGGAAGAAUCAGAGAAAGGGAAGACAUGUUCAUGGAAAACUACAUCUCUAGAAUGAAAAAUAGUAGAAGAGGACAAAUUCAGAAGCUUAUAAGCUUUCUUCCCAGGACUAUAACCAAUGAAAACAUAUGAUAUUGUUCUGGAUUUGAAUUUAUCUCUAUGAGGUUUUGGCACAACAGCAAAGGCUAAACAUCCAAAUGCCUUAAGGUGAGAAAAAAAAGAGGAACACCAUGUAGAAGUUCAAAAGGAGAUUUGUGGUGUAAUAAGGGAGAAAGAAACUUGUUUAUUAAAUAGGUGGAAGUUAGUACACAUUCACCCUAGUACUUGAUAGGUAGGUUAGAUUGGAAAAGAAGUACUCUUGCCGUUUCUAGCAAAUAUUUAUGUUUUCGUUCUACCACAUCAUUUUGUUGAGGUGGUGUGACCACAAAGUUUGAUGUAAUAUGCCUUGAGCAGAGGAGAAAGAGGUUGCCUCAGAACUACUGCCUGACUCAAAAACAUUGUCACACCUAAAAGCUUUGACAGGAUAACCAAACUGAGUUUAGAUCAUAACCACAAAAGACUUAAGUAUGGUGAAAGCAUUUGAUUGGGAUGACAAUAAAUGAGUCCAUGUUGCAUUGGUAUAGUCAUCUACAAAAGCAAUAAAAUAUUUGAAAUUAUUAUAUGUUUGUGUAUGAUAAGGUCUCCAAAGGUCAACAUGUACCAAUUAAAAAGGGACAGUUGAGUGAAUGGUACUCUCAGAAAAAGGAGGUCUUUGCUGCCUUGCCAUGGGGCAUAUAGGACAUAGAAAAGUUUGCUUCUUAGGUAACUUGUCAAAAAGGAAAGCCAUGGAUUUCAUUUUAGCAAAUGGAAUAUGACCUAAUCUAAGUGCCAUGCAUGAUCAAAAGACAAGCCAGAAAAUGCGUUACUAACAGGUACAUUAAUCAAAGAAUUAACAGAACCAGAAGUGAAAUUUAAUCUGCUAUUAUUGAGAAUAUCACCAAUGGAAGUAAUGGUAUUUACAAAUAAAGAAUCAUAGGAAUGAAUGGGGGAGAGAUUAUCUGAAUCAGUGGCGGAUUCAGGAUUUUAAAGUCAUGGGUGCUGAUCAAUAAAAAUUCCAAAAAAAGAGAAAAAAUGAGUUUAAUUGCGGGUGCUCACUUAUUAUUUAUAUACAUAUUUUUAUAAUUGCCUAUGCAAAUUUACUACACAUAGUCAAAAAUAAUGGGUGCUUAAGCACCCACCAAUGCCAAUGUGGAUCCGCCACUGAUCUAAAUGCAAGAGGUAUAAGCCCUUCUGAAGUUUACCAAGAACUAGUGGCUUCUUCAAAAAAGGGCUCUGCAAUAAAAUGCAAUCAGUUGAAGUGAAUAAGGCAUAAUUGGUGAGGUGAUGCAACAACUAAGAUAGAGAAAGCAGAUUAUAAUGAAAAGAAGGUACAAACAACAUAUUAGGAAGGGAAAUAUCGGAAGAAAUACUAAGUGCCCCAGUGCAAGUCACUUUAACCUUGUACCCAUUAGGAAGACUCACAAGGUAAGGAAAAAGUAAAGGUUUUAUAUCCUUAAGGAGAUAUCUGUGGGGUGUCAUGUAAUUAUUAGCCCCAGAGUCUAUAAUCCAAACACUACUCUCUAUCCUAGAGACAUUACAACCAAGAAUACCACCAGAAUUAAAAUCAAUAGAAUUUACCAGACCUGCAAAAUUUGUAGAAUCGGAGGCCAAGUCUUGAGGAGAAGAGGACACCUUGGACUGCUGAAGGAGUGAGAUGAGAUGAUCAUACUGCUCCUUGGUGAGAACAUGAGUUCCUAUAUCAGUUGGAAUCACCUUGGAAUUGUUUGUUCCUGAAUCUUCAGUUUGUCCCACCAUUUGAGUAUCAGACACUUGUGCAUAAAUAGCAACUCUCUUAAAUUUGUUCCCAAAACCAGGAGGAUAUCCAUAUAAUUUAUAACAUCUAUCAAUAGAGCGUCCAGGCCUUUUACAAUACUUGCAUACAACAUUGGAAUUGGGCUUCUUAGUGGUAUCAAAAUUGAUUGUUUGAGUAUAAGACUUAUGAACAGCAGUCAAAAAAGAAGUAGAUUCUGAGUUGAAAGAAGGAAUGGAGUUCUUGACUCUCAUCCUCAAUAAGCAUCCCAUACACAUUGUCAAUAUCCGGCAAUGUCAUUAUCAUGAGAAUAUUUCUUCUAAUGUUUGAAUAGUUCUCAUUUAACGCCAUACAAAAUUGAUGAACCUUUUGAUCCUCCUCCAGCUUUAGAAAAGCUUCCUCACACCCACACACAUAAGGAGGAUAGGAAAUGGAAAAUGCCAAUUCAUCCCAAAUUUCUUAAUUCUAUUGAAAUAUCAAGCUAUACUUGAAGACUCCUGAGAAAUAGAAGAUAUUUACUUGCGUAUUUGGAACACUUUACUUCCAUUUGGCUUUUCAUAACGUUGUUCAAUUUUCUUCCACAACUUCUCAGCAGAUUCCGUAUACAUGACACUCUCUCUGAUCUCCAAAGCUAAACUGCUUAAAAAGUCCAUGCUAUAACCAUGUCGUUACAACGACACCAUGGCUCUUACAAAGGAGAAUCCUUACUCGGCUUUACAAUAGACCCAUUAAUCAAACCCAAUUUGUUCUUGCACAAGAGGCCGAUGAGCAUUCCUCCCCGCCAACUUCCAUAAUCUAAACCGUUAAAUAUAGUAGCCACUAUCUCGGUUCCAGAAGAAUCUGAAGGAUACAAAUAUAGUGGAUGUGAUGGCUCGACUGUCAUAGCAGUCGAACCAGAAGAAGACCUAGUGACAUUCGAAAUACAAUCAUUAUUUUUGACAAAAUUAGGGAUUCAAUAUAUAUCAAUUGUCAAAAUGGAUGAAUCAGUUAUUCAAACAAACAAUUAAGUAGAAGAUUGAACUCUCAGCACCCAAUAUGAUCAACAAAAUGAAGAAAUCGAAGCCCUAAAUCAGAAAAUUGACCGAGAGAAGAGAACUCAACUUCGUCACAAAAAAAACUUUGAAUCAAAAUUUGACAGCAACGGCGGAUGAAGACUUGACCACGAGCUAACGAACGUCGGCUCUGAUACCAUGCUCUGAUACCAUGUAAACAUUUGGAAUUCAGAUUCAACAUAGAACCUUCUGGAGAAGAAAAGCCCUAAGGGAACAAUGAAGAAACGAGAGAGAAAUAUAUGAGAAUAUGUUAUUUUGAUAUAAAAUGAACAUUGGUCCUUAAAUAAAUCUAACUAUUUUGUGUGUGUGUGUGUCUAUAUAUCUAUAUAUAUCUAUAUAUAUAUAUAUAUAUAAGUACAACUGGGUCGGGUCUCACCCUUUAAAUACAAAUAGAUCUGCAUCUGUUUAUUUGUGGUUUGUGGGCUGCUGCUGCUUUUGAGAGGGGCUGUUGUAUGUUGGGCUGUGAAUCAUCAUAUUGGGAAAGGAUUCAUCCCAAGCUCUCAUGCAAUCUUCAAUAAUGUAAUUGCAUAUAGAAUUUGAGUAUUGGAACUUAUGGGAUAGUUAUUGGAAACCAUAAGUCUGCAAAUUUGAGUUGGGUGUUGUAAAAAAUUGGGAGAUGGGUUGUUAGAUGUAGUUGUUGGUUGGGUGUAGUUGGGUGAUCAUACAUGUAUUGUUGAAUGUCAAUUACUAUCUAAGGAUGGUUAUCGGUCUGAAUAUUGUCACAGAAGGGGGUUGAGGGAUAAAGAAAACCCCUUUACUAGAUAUAGUGUAGGGUUAUGCACUAUAAGCAUCUGAUAAAAU